UUUAAGGUUUGAUCUGCCCUAUGAGGAAUUAAAUGGCCGCAGUAUUUUGACUGUGCAAAGGUAGCAUAAUAAUUUGUUUUUUAAUUGAAAGCUGGAAUGAAAGAUUGGACGAGAAAAUUACUGUCUCAGUUUUAUUUAGUUAGAAUUUUAUUUUUAAGUGAAAAAGCUUAAAUUUUUUUAAAAGACGAGAAGACCCUAUAGAGUUUAAUAAUUAUUUAAUUAUAAGUUUUAAAGAAUUUUUUUAUUUAUAUUUAGUUAUUUAUUUUGUUGGGGUGAUAGAAAAAUUAAUUUAACUUUUUUUAUUUAAGAACAUUAAUUUAUGAUUAUUUGAUCCAUUAUUUUGAUUAUAAGAUUAAAUUACCUUAGGGAUAACAGCGUUAUUUUUUUUUAGAGUUCCUAUCGAAAAAGAAGAUUGCGACCUCGAUGUUGGAUUAAAAUGAAUUUUUGGUGAAGAAGCUAAAAAAUUGGGUCUGUUCGACCCUUAAAAUUUUACA
This 494-nucleotide ribosomal RNA is filed under the name Comaserica sp. 671476. RNAcentral describes it as "partial 16S large subunit ribosomal RNA". It matches the Rfam family "Bacterial large subunit ribosomal RNA", at positions 1844 to 2600 of the family's 2925-position model. The record is from RNAcentral. Lineage: Eukaryota; Metazoa; Arthropoda; Insecta; Coleoptera; Scarabaeidae.